This 591-nucleotide ribosomal RNA is filed under the name Triticum aestivum (bread wheat). Its description in RNAcentral is "partial small subunit ribosomal RNA". Lineage: Eukaryota; Viridiplantae; Streptophyta; Magnoliopsida; Poales; Poaceae. The record is from RNAcentral.
AUGCAUGCUGUUUGGAACCCGAGACACUUUAUUACUCCAUUAUUAUUAUUACCAAAGCUAAAGGGACAAAUCCAAGACAGUAUGGAAAAAAGGCACAUCCCACACAGAGCACCAGUAGCCAAAACACUUCAUUAUUACUCGGCCCGCCUUAUGCUGACGUUGAAGGUGUGCUCGUCGACGAGGUGGAAGACACAGAGGUCCCCGACCUUGAUCCCAUGGUGGCCGGAGAAGUGGCCCCACCCGGCCUUCAUGCGCGCCUGGUCGCUCGUCAGCGUCAGCUUCACGGGCCACGACCUCCCGCCCGAGUCCUUGAGUAUCAUCAGCCGGUUCGUCGCGAUGCCGUUCAUGACGCAGAACUUCUUCCCGAUGUUCUACACGAGCUGUAGCGAAUGUUGCAAGGAGUCGCCGUCUUGGCGUAGAAAGGGAGGGUGCCGGUGUAGUCAGACUCCUUGGCCUCCGUUGCGAUGCCGGAGUGGGUGUCCGCUUGGGCGUACUUCUCUGUGGUGGCAUCUUGCUCGCCAUCAUUGUCUUCCAUCAGAAUCCUGCGAGGUUUGUACUGCUUCUUUGCCUGUAUGGCACCAUCACCGGUAA